This 89-nucleotide small nuclear RNA is filed under the name Mus caroli (Ryukyu mouse). RNAcentral describes it as "predicted gene, 25549 (MGP_CAROLIEiJ_G0034707.1)". The record is from RNAcentral. Lineage: Eukaryota; Metazoa; Chordata; Mammalia; Rodentia; Muridae.
GUGGUACCACACUCACUAAAGAUGGAACUAUACAGAGAAGACAGCGUGGCCCCUACACAGGACAUGCACAUCCGUGAAGCAAUCCAUCA